UACGUUGGGUGCGAGCGUUGUCCGGAAUUAUUGGGCGUAAAGAGCGUGUAGGCGGCCAGGUAGGUCUGCUGUGAAAACUCGAGGCUUAACCUCGAGCUGUCGGCGGAAACCAUCUGGCUAGAGUCCGGAAGAGGAGAAUGGAAUUCCCGGUGUAGCGGUGAAAUGCGCAGAUAUCGGGAAGAACACCCGUGGCGAAGGCGGUUCUCUGGGACGGUACUGACGCUGAGACGCGAAAGCGUGGGGAGCGAACAGG
This 253-nucleotide ribosomal RNA is filed under the name uncultured bacterium. Its description in RNAcentral is "partial 16S ribosomal RNA". It matches the Rfam family "Bacterial small subunit ribosomal RNA", at positions 524 to 776 of the family's 1533-position model. The record is from RNAcentral.